CCGCGACCCCAGGUCAGGCGGGAUUACCCGCUGAGUUUAA
This 40-nucleotide ribosomal RNA is filed under the name Bellardia viscosa. Its description in RNAcentral is "partial 28S ribosomal RNA". RNAcentral also lists the same sequence under 38 other names. Lineage: Eukaryota; Viridiplantae; Streptophyta; Magnoliopsida; Lamiales; Orobanchaceae. The record is from RNAcentral.